RNA transcript from Cygnus olor (mute swan), 2810 nucleotides. It is a transcript of the gene named MYCBP associated protein, with no coding region annotated. NCBI's taxonomy places the organism in Eukaryota, Metazoa, Chordata, Aves, Anseriformes, Anatidae. The record is from RefSeq and is a predicted model, not a curated record. The transcript is spliced from 17 exons.
GCGGAGCGGCCCCGGGGGAUGCAGGCGCAGGGCCGCGGGCUGCGGAGGCGCGGCUCGGGCACGGGGCAGGGCCGCAGGGAGCCGCGCUCCGGGACCCCCCCGGACAAGAAGGAAAAGGCAUGUGAACAAUCCUUCUCAACGAUUCCAGAGGAGCCAGAGCCUGUUCCAUACGUUCUGCGAGGAGAUGACAUCCAAGCACUUGCAAUUAAGUUAGAGGACCUGGAAAAACUCCAUGCUCCACACCUUCCCCAUGAUGCCGGGAGAAUUCCAGUUAGGAGGAAAUUCCUCAUUCGAAAAUAUCGGCCCAAAGAGACAAAAAAGAAGGCCCAUCUUCUGGUAGCAUAUCCUGUCUUCCCAAGGGCACCCAAGGAACAGCUGAGUUUUUCUGGACCAGGACAGUUUGGUGAUGGCUGUGAAGAGAUUCUUCCUCACCACAUUUUGGGAAGUCUCCAGGAGUUCAAGAUGGAAGCCUUGGCCAGAGGAAACACUCAGAUAGCAGAUUUUAUUCAAGUUCCUCGUAAAAAUAUUGCUGCAGCAGUUUUAAAAGAAGAACAUGGAGGAGAGACAAAGAAAAAGGUCCGUCAGAUCCCACCAUCAGAGCACAGAGCUCUCCAGAACUGGCACCGUAAUAUGGCACUCAGGAAAAAGCAGGAGAGGUAUCUAGGAGAAAUUCUUCAGAAGCCAGAAAAUGAGUUGUUGAUGAGCAUCUCAGAGGAUUACAGACAAAUCCAGGAAGAACGUGACCUCAUUGACCGGAGUCUCCCUGCCCUGUUUCCUGGAAAGGGCUACCGAACAGGAAGCGAGUUCUGGAGCCAGCCCGAGCGCAUCGGAGAUGAACUCACUGGCCUGAUGCUGACCCUGACUCAGAGGGAACGGGGCUACCCAGCGCCAGUCACUCACGUGGGGAAACCCCACACUGUGCGAAUGGAAACGGGUCUGAAACCUCCGAAGAGGAUCCCUUUCCGUCUAACCUGGGAUAAGAGUCUUUUCCUGAAACGCCGACGGCAGGAGCUAAAAUCUGUCCUAGAGGAGCUAGACUUUUACAAGCCGGAUCUGGAUGGACUGGAGGUGAUCGGUAAAGGGCAGCCUUUCACGUCUGUCUCAAUGCAGUCUUUUCCAUGUUCCACCAGUUCUGAAGAGCCUGAGACCCUCAGUGACUCCUUAGGGGAUUAUCAUGAUCUGGUUCCAGAAGCAGUAUGGGGCCCGUCUUUGGAUUUCUGUGGCCAGCCUGCACGUUGGAUCAACUGCAUCACUUCUUGCAGGCAUAUAGUUGGCAUUGCUGCCCGUCUCACUUUUGAGACUGUGGCUGGUGAAAAAGCCGAAAGCUUCCUGACGGUGAGCAAUGAUGGCACAGCUGCCAUCUGGUAUAACUGGAGGAGGCUUCUCCAGCAGAUUCCCUCCAGAGAAACCAAGAGGAUACAGUGUUUUUACUUUGAUGCCAGACCAGGUGUAAUUUUGCCUGGAGAAACUAGAAAGUUUGUCUUUCUUUUCAAGUCAGAGAGAGCUGGCAUUUUCAGCGAGUCCUGGGAAUUUAGGACACAUCCUCUGUUAUUAGGAGGAGCUCUGCUGCAGGUGACCCUUUGGGGAAUUGCUGUGUAUGAGGAUAAAUUGGCUGACCUCAGAGAGAAACUGGAGUCUGACCUGGCUGCUCAAGAGGGUGCUGCUAUAGUAGAAGAGACUCUGAAGGAACUUCUUGUCCGAAUUCGGACCCCAGAGCGCACCCCAUCUCCUGUGGAUGCCUAUGUCACAGAGGAAGAGUUGUUCCACAAGACGAAUCCCAAGUUGCAUUAUCAGCAUCGAGUGGUUAAGCAGCUGCAGGAACUGUGGAGACAGCACGUGACCGUCCCUUCAGCCUCUGAGGAGAAAGUGCCCUCAGGCCCGAAGAGCAGCGUGGAGGACAUGCAGCUCCAGGAGAGUGUCUCGGAGGCUCUCUCCACUCAGGGGAGUGCUACAGAGAUCCCAGACUGGAAGAACACACUCGAUGUGACUCUGAGUCAAGUGAAGGUGGAAGAGGAAGAGCCAGGCCCCUCAGCGUGGAACUUUUCCUUCGAGGACUUUAAGCAGGCUAUAAAGUUGAUCCCGAAGGAGGAGCAGCGAGAAGAAGCACUGACCCAGCUCAAUAAGGCAGCACUAGAGCUGUGUGUUGAACAGAGGCCAACCCAGUCAGACCUUUUGUAUCAAACCUGGCUUUCAGACUGUAAACAUAUCAACAGCUGCUAGCUGCUUCUAAAUCACAGGAAUGCGGGUUCCUCUUGGUAUAGGCAGCAGAUCAAUGCUGAUUUACCAGUGUGUCAUGUUGAAGAGCAGGAGACCUAGUUACCCAGUAAUAUUUAUGGGUCCAUGUGAGCCCAUUGACAUGCAAACCCAAGGAAAGUAAUGUAGCUUCCCUCUGCCCAGAUUUUUAGAUGUUAGGUGCAAUUGUAUUGAUUUAAUUGGACAGAGCAGCCUUUAGCUGUAAGGUGCCUUCACUCCUGGGCAUUGGGUAAAACAAGAUGGCCUUGCCCCUACCUUUCCACCCCAAAAUGCCCAAUUGCUGUGCUGUCUCCCUUCUGUUUCUGAUACUUUUCUCAGCCUCCAGCUGUGGCGUGAAACAAUUGAUGGUCUGGUGAGUCACUCUCUGAAGCUGAGAUCCCUGCUUGGCUUGCCUGAGAAGGACACCUGUGUAGAUGUUCUUCCAGAGGAAACAGCAGAAGUAAAACAACCUAUAAAAGGAGGAAAAGAAGACAAAAUAACCAGUAGGAAAGAAGAGAGAAGGUCAGUUGGUGGUAAGGAUAAAGAAGACAAAAAAAGAACAGCUAAGACUGCAGGGA